GUAGGUGAACCUGCGGAAGGAUCAUUGAAUCUAUAUCAAUCCACAUACGUGAACCUCUUCGUUGGCCUUCCACCUUCACGGGUGGUAUGGUACGGCAUCGCUGCAAAGCGAUGCUGUGCCAGCCGUCGGCUGCACGGAUCCCGUGCACUGGCUUCGGCCUUUACUAACCAACCAACACCUAACCAAACUAUAAUGAUAACCGAAUGUACGGCUUAGAGUCGUACAUUCACCAACCAAGACAACUCUCAACAACGGAUAUCUUGGCUCUCAGAUCGAUGAAGAACGCAGCGAAAUGCGAUACGUAGUGUGAAUUGCAGAAAUACGUGAAUCAUCGAAUCUUUGAACGCAAAUUGCGCUCGAGGCUUCGGCCAAGAGCAUGUCUGCCUCAGCGUCGGGUUAAAACUCGCUCCAACUAACCUUGGGUGCGGAACUGACUGUCUCAUAUGCACUGUGUGCGCAUGGGUCAGUUGAAGUGCAGCUGCUGCUACAUGGACCCGCUAAUGGGCCUCUACUGGGUAGGCAGUCUUUUGCUCAUGCUUUAGUAGAUGGCUUUGGAUCUGUGUUGGCUAAGCACAAACCAGGAAACCUUAACCUUUUUUCUCGACCUGAGCUCAGGCAAGAUUACCCGCUGAACUUAA
This 638-nucleotide ribosomal RNA is filed under the name Pandorina morum. RNAcentral describes it as "eukaryotic LSU rRNA". The stretch from base 241 to 394 matches the Rfam family "5.8S ribosomal RNA". Lineage: Eukaryota; Viridiplantae; Chlorophyta; Chlorophyceae; Chlamydomonadales; Volvocaceae. The record is from RNAcentral.